Molecule: ribosomal RNA, 501 nt
Filed under: uncultured Acidobacteriota bacterium
Lineage: Bacteria; Pseudomonadati; Acidobacteriota
Description: bacterial SSU rRNA
Rfam family: Bacterial small subunit ribosomal RNA
Source: RNAcentral
GAGUUUGAUCGUGGCUCAGGACGAACGCUGGCGGCGUGCUUAAUACAUGCAAGUCAACGAGAAACAGGGUGCUUGCAUCCUGUGGACAGUGGCGCACGGGUGCGUAACACGUAGGUAAUCUGCCCUUAGGACUGACAUAACUCCGGGAAACCGAAGCUAAUAUCAGAUAAUGCAGCGGCUCGGCAUCGAGACAGUUGUUAAAUCUUCGGAGCCUAAGGAUGAACCUGCGUCCCAUUAGUUAGUUGGCGGGGUAACGGCCCACCAAGACAGUGAUCGGUAGCCGGCCUGAGAGGGCGCACGGCCACACUGGAACUGAAACACGGUCCAGACUCCUACGGGAGGCAGCAGUGGGGAAUUUUGCGCAAUGGGGGAAACCCUGACGCAGCAACGCCGCGUGGAGGAUGAAGUCCCUUGGGACGUAAACUCCUUUCGAUCGGGACGAAUUAUGACGGUACCGGAAGAAGAAGCCCCGGCUAACUCCGUGCCAGCAGCCGCCGUAAU